RNAcentral lists this ribosomal RNA (468 nucleotides) under uncultured bacterium. RNAcentral describes it as "partial 16S ribosomal RNA". It matches the Rfam family "Bacterial small subunit ribosomal RNA", at positions 28 to 507 of the family's 1533-position model. The record is from RNAcentral.
GACGAACGCUGGCGGCGUGCUUAACACAUGCAAGUCGAACGGAAAGGCCCUGCUUUUGUGGGGUGCUCGAGUGGCGAACGGGUGAGUAACACGUGAGUAACCUGCCCUUGACUUUGGGAUAGCUUCAGGAAACUGGGGCUAAUACCGGAUAGGAGCUCCUGCUGCAUGGUGGGGGUUGGAAAGUUUCGGCGGUUGGGGAUGGACUCGCGGCUUAUCAGCUUGUUGGUGGGGUAGUGGCUUACCAAGGCUUUGACGGGUAGCCGGCCUGAGAGGGUGACCGGCCACAUUGGGACUGAGAUGCGACCCAGACUACUACGGGAGGCAGCAGUGGGGAAUAUUGCACAAUGGGCGGAAGCCUGAUGCAGCGACGCCGCGUGCGGGAUGACGGCCUUCGGGUUGUAAACCGCUUUCGCCUGUGACGAAGCGUGAGUGACGGUAAUGGGUAAAGAAGCACCGGCUAACUACGUG